UCUUUUCUUUCUCUUUUUUUUUCUAUUUGAUAAUUUUUCCAUUUUUCAUUAAUUCUGAGAGUUUCAUGCGACGUGUACUGAUCAUAUAUAUUUUUCACACACACACACCCAACACCUCCCUACCCCUAACUCCUCUGAAAUCAACCCUCACCUCCCUACACACACCUCAACUUCGUGUCCCUUUUGUCAAGAACCCAUAGACUCCAAUUUGAGCAGUCUAUAUACUCCUGGUCCACGUGGGGACCAUUCAAUGGAGUAGGUUUAGCCUUCAAAGAACCACACCCUUAAAGAAAACCAUAGCCCCACUCGGAAGCCUUCUACUGUGCAUAGCUCCAGGGUGACCGGUGGGAUUUCAUUAAAAAAAAAAAAAAAAAAAAAAAGUUUCCCACUCCAUGCUAGCAGGUUGACUGGCUUGAUCUUCUGAGGAUAUUGUGCGACAACCUCAGCGGCUGUGUGUUCAUGCAUGCAGCAAUCCCGUCAUGCCCAGAGGCCAGCGCUGAGCUGUAGUGCCCCUGACCUAGAGUUCUGUGAAUCUUUUCACUCACCUUACUCCCACCCUUUGUGGAUUGUCCUGGAACGUUAAGGAGGGCUUGUGAUUUGUAUGUCCCAUUUGUGGCUGGGCAAUCCACGAGCAUUUAUUCUCUUCGAUUUGACCAUUUGUGGGUUUGUGCAUUAACCACCAUCCCCUGCACUGAGAAACUUGUCUGAUGAGGUCUCAGAGUUGCGCUGGCUGAUCUACAAGUAGAGAGACAUGAAUUCAGAGGGUCGUUUGCUUUGAUGUCCAUUUAUUUGACAUCAAAGUAAUAGGUUCAUUCCUGUGGCCCAUGAGCACCACAGCCACAGGCUCUUGGAGUAUCUUGGAGAAAGAUACGUUUCUUUCUGUGGAGUGAGCCUUAAUCCCAAUCAGAAAACAGUUAUCACCCUAUAUUGUAGAAAUGAGCAUAUCUCUCCAUGUUAGCCAUUCCUGUGGCUUGCAGGCUUCACUGGUAGGCAGGACUAUUGAUGGCUUUUCUCUCUUGGCAGCUCACAUAAUCAAUUCUAAGACUAUAAGAGCUAGAUUUCGGGAGACUACAGGUCAGUUCCAGAUGGGUUCCUCAAAGUCCUGUGUCCAAAAUGCAUGGUGUCUACAGCUAAAGGGUCUUGACAUCAAGUUCCGGUAGGCAACCAAGAGUAAUGGUAAUAGCCUGUAUUGAUUUUGGGACACCUGUGAUCAACAACUUAAAGGAAGGUUAUCCCACACCCCACUGGGCUUUUAAUUUGCAUCUCUCCCAGCCAAGACAAAGCUAGGAGCCAGUGAUCACUUCGGUAGCAAUGAAAAAUCACACCUGGAAAUAUCUAGUCCCACUCUCCCUGAGCCCAGUUAUCACGGGUUUCACCUUGAAAAGGCUAAGUAGUGGAGGAGAUAAAGCCAGGUAACUUGUAAGCAUUGUGCAAUGUGUACAUUAAUAUGUACAAUUUUAUGGUUACGUAUGACUCAAAGAACAAACUGAAUCACAAUAAGACUUCAUCCGGCGGUGAGCUCAUCAGAUCUUGCCAAAAUCCUACAGGGGCUGAAGUUUGUGUGCAAAUUUCUCCUUACUGAUUCUGUUCUCUUCCCCAUUUCUCCCUCCCCUCUCUUCUCCACCACUUCCACCUGUGACUUCCCCUUUUGCUUUGUCAACAACGUAGCUUUUAGAGCUUUCAACGUCACUGAUGCACACAGUGACUGAGAGGAGGCAGCCCCUCCUCCUUCACAAGUCACUGUAACAAGUCAAUGCUUUAUGAUAGGAAGUUCCUGUGAUGCUUACAGGCUGCUCUUUUGCAUGUGUAUUGUUGGCCACCAUCUAUGUUUAACUUUUUAUUUAUGAUACUCUAUUUAUGAUAUUUAUGAUUUUGAUUUACAGCCAGAUAUGUCAAUGUCAGCUCUUUGAGGACAGGAGACCAUCACUUCAAUGAAUAUUUAUUGAGUACCUAUCAGCUAGUGCCCAGAAUUCAGAUAGUAAAUGCCCUUUGUGAGACUUGCAGUUAGGUCUCCAUUUUUAACUCUAAUCCUAUUCAAAAGAGAAUUAUACUUUGAGUAAUUUUACCAAAUAAUACCAUAUAUUACAUGUGUGUAUACAUAUAUACAUAUAUGUGUGUAUACAUAUAUAUGUAUGUAUGUAUGUAUAUAUACACACACACACACAUAUAUUCUAAUAAAAAUCUGGGAUAAAUGAAGUCUGCCAGAAACUGUAAAAGUGUUUUCAAGAAGCAAUUUGAAGAGAUAUGCUACAGGAUAUUGCCCCUUGGUAAGGUACUUGGAACUCUCGAUAAUUGGCUCCUUUGCCCCUGGUUUCUUGACUCAUUGCCUGCUCAUCUUGUAGACUUUGAUGUCUUCUCUUACACUCAAAUUAUAGCAAAAUACACUCUCUGACCUCGGCACUUCCUGGAUCCCAAGGCUAAUAGAAGUAACUGGUAUAC
RNAcentral lists this long non-coding RNA (2439 nucleotides) under Mus musculus (house mouse). RNAcentral's name for it is "long non-coding RNA chr5:98031566-98034005". The record is from RNAcentral. Lineage: Eukaryota; Metazoa; Chordata; Mammalia; Rodentia; Muridae.